CAGUUAAUGAGAGACUGGGUUUAUACUAAUCUCCUUAAUUGGCACUUCCUGUGGUUGAUCCUUAAAUAGUGCUCAGCUGAGGCUGAACUUUAUGCAGCUUCCAUUUGGCUCUGGACACUUGAGCAGUGAGUAUGGUUCUCCUGCAGCUCCCUUCUGACACAUGAUUACGGUUGGUGAUUAUUUUUUCCUGUUGUGCCUCCUUACAGACUGAGUGUCUGACACAUGUACAGAGCCCACAAGCUGCCAUGAGCUAUUUCUACAUGUAACUAGGUGACUACGCCUUGCAGCUUCCCCUACGUUAUAGGCUUUUUAACUUCAUUAUGUGAUCAGGCAUGUUGCCAACUUUGAAGGCCAUUCCACACAUCUGAGUGAUCUGGCUUGCCGUCCAGGUGAUUUAAGUGCCAAUCUUGAUAAAGGUCCGCAUAAGGACCGAAACGUCGAUGAAAUACGGCAUCAACAGUGAACCCGAAUAAAAAUAUACUGAAUUUACAAGUGACUUCAGAGACUAAUUUCUGGGCGCG
This is a long non-coding RNA of Pseudophryne corroboree (corroboree frog), 521 nucleotides long. RefSeq lists it as uncharacterized. The transcript has 3 exons. NCBI's taxonomy places the organism in Eukaryota, Metazoa, Chordata, Amphibia, Anura, Myobatrachidae. The record is from RefSeq and is a predicted model, not a curated record.